CCCGUUGCACUCACCGCCCGUCACAUCACCCGAGUCUGGUGCUCCCGAAGUCGCUGGCCGAACCCGUAAGGACGGAGGCGCCGAAGGAGUGCCCGGUGAGGGGGUG
This 106-nucleotide ribosomal RNA is filed under the name uncultured bacterium. Its description in RNAcentral is "partial 16S ribosomal RNA". It matches the Rfam family "Bacterial small subunit ribosomal RNA", at positions 1377 to 1482 of the family's 1533-position model. The record is from RNAcentral.